Molecule: unclassified non-coding RNA, 3974 nt
Filed under: Hevea brasiliensis (rubber tree)
Lineage: Eukaryota; Viridiplantae; Streptophyta; Magnoliopsida; Malpighiales; Euphorbiaceae
Source: RNAcentral
GAGAGGGUAGAGGUAGGCAUGAGCUAUUGAAUCGCUCUCUCUGUGGUCCCUUCUUUAUAUUUCAUUGCAUUCAACCCUACAAGUGAAUGCUCAUUUAACAGAGAAGAAGAAGAAAAGAAACAAAUCACUGGUACUGGUAGCAGGUGAGAGUGAGAGUUUUAACAGAGUUUCCCCUCUUUGGAUUUUACACUCCAACUUUACUGGUAAUUGAAACCUAAUUUUGAUCGGUUUUGAUGAAUUAUGUUCUUCCUUCUCUUUUAUGUUUUGAUUGGUUCUUAAGAAAGUAAUCGGAAAAUGGGAAGAAAAUUCAGAUGGUUCUGAAUCCUCCUUUUCCCCCCCUACUUGCUUGAACUUUCUUUUUAGAAAUUUUAUUUGCUGAAUUUUAGGAAUUUGCGUUAUCAAAUCAUGAUUUUUCUAUGUUGUGUUUGCUAGGUCUCAGGCCUGGUCCUGUUAUUGAAGGAUUGGGAAUUGGUUUAAUUGGGAUUGAGUUUGAUGGGGAAGGGUGGGGAGGACUAUGGUCAAAGAGAGAAAAUUGGUUUGGAAUCGCAGGACGAAGAUUAUUUCCCUGCUUGGUCGAAAGAUAUUAAAGAAUGUGAAGAGCACUACCAAGUGAAUCAUGAGUUUGGAUUGUCGGCUGCAGAAGUUGAGAAGAGGCGGCAGAAAUUUGGAUAUAAUGAAUUGGAGAAACAUGAGGGUGCAUCCAUUUUUAAACUCAUAUUGGAGCAAUUUAAUGACACAUUAGUUAGGAUUUUAUUAGCUGCUGCCAUAAUCUCUUUUGUGUUGGCUUGGUAUGAUGGUGAGGAAGGAGGGGAAAUGGAGAUCACAGCAUUUGUGGAACCGUUGGUUAUUUUCUUGAUCUUGAUUGUGAAUGCAAUUGUGGGCAUUUGGCAAGAGAGCAAUGCUGAGAAAGCAUUGGAAGCCUUGAAAGAAAUCCAGUCUGAGCACGCCACAGUGAUAAGAGAUGGCAAGAAGAUUUCGAAUUUGCCCGCAAAAGAACUUGUUCCAGGAGAUAUUGUGGAGUUGAGAGUGGGUGAUAAGGUGCCUGCAGAUAUGCGAGUUUUGAGUUUGAUUAGCUCCACAGUUCGUGUUGAGCAAGGUUCUUUGACGGGAGAGAGUGAAGCAGUGAGCAAGACUGUCAAGGCUGUUGCAGGAGACACAGAUAUACAAGGUAAGAAAUGCAUGGUUUUUGGGGGAACAACAGUGGUGAAUGGAAAUUGUAUAUGCUUGGUUACACAAACAGGAAUGAAUACAGAGAUUGGAAAGGUACAUUCACAGAUCCAUGAAGCCUCACAGAAUGAAGAGGAUACCCCAUUGAAGAAGAAAUUGAAUGAGUUCGGAGAGCUUCUAACACUGAUAAUUGGAGUCAUUUGUGCAUUAGUUUGGUUGAUUAAUGUUAAGUACUUUCUUACUUGGGAAUAUGUUGAUGGUUGGCCUAAGAAUUUUAAGUUCUCAUUUGAGAAGUGCACAUAUUACUUUGAGAUUGCUGUGGCACUGGCAGUGGCUGCUAUACCAGAAGGAUUGCCUGCAGUCAUUACAACAUGUUUGGCACUUGGAACUCGAAAGAUGGCUCAAAAGAAUGCACUUGUUAGAAAGUUGCCUAGUGUUGAGACUCUUGGAUGUACAACAGUGAUCUGUUCUGACAAAACAGGUACUUUAACAACUAAUCAGAUGGCCGCGUCAAAGCUAGUGGCUAUGGGUUCUAGGAUUGGUACUCUUCGAUCUUUCAAUGUGGAAGGGACUACCUACGACCCUUUGGAUGGGAAAAUAGAAGACUGGCCAGUGGGUCGAAUGGACUCUAAUCUUCAGAUGAUCGCAAAGAUUGCUGCAGUCUGCAAUGAUGCAGGUGUGGAGCGAUCUGGUCACCAUUAUAUUGCUAGUGGAAUGCCUACAGAGGCUGCCUUAAAGGUACUUGUUGAGAAAAUGGGAUUUACUGGUGGACUUAAUGAAUCAUCUUCAUGUCAUGGGGAUGUUCUACGUUGCUGUCAACUAUGGAAUAAAAUGGAUCAGCGCAUUGCAACUCUUGAGUUCGAUCGGUAUCGGAAAUCCAUGGGAGUUAUUGUUAAAUCCAGCACAGGAAAAAAAUCACUGCUAGUGAAGGGUGCAGUAGAAAACGUAUUGGAGAGAAGCUCAUAUGUUCAGCUGCUUGAUGGCUCAGUUGUGGAAUUGGAUCAAUAUUCAAGAGAGCUUAUUUUACAAAGCCUUCAUGACAUGUCAACAAGUGCAUUACGUUGUCUGGGUUUUGCUUACAAAGGGGACCUGGCAGCAUUUGAAACAUAUAAUGGUGAUGAGGACCACCAGGCCCAUGAGCUUCUACUUAACCCAUCUAAUUAUUCUUCUAUUGAGAGUGAACUCAUUUUUGUUGGUUUAGUUGGGCUAAGGGAUCCCCCUCGGAAAGAGGUUCGUCAAGCAAUUGAGGACUGCAAAGCAGCUGGAAUCCGUGUUAUGGUCAUUACAGGUGACAACAAAAAUACAGCAGAAGCUAUUUGUCGUGAAAUAGGUGUAUUUGGACCUUAUGAUGAUAUCAGCACACGAAGCUUAACUGGAAAAGAAUUCAUGGACCAUCCUGAUCAAAGAAAUCAUUUAAGGCAAGACGGAGGGCUACUGUUCUCUAGGGCUGAACCAAGGCAUAAGCAAGAAAUAGUGAGGUUGCUUAAAGAUGAUGGUGAAGUUGUUGCUAUGACAGGAGAUGGAGUGAAUGAUGCACCUGCCUUAAAGUUGGCUGAUAUUGGCAUAGCAAUGGGCAUUGCUGGGACAGAGGUUGCCAAAGAAGCCUCUGACAUGGUGUUAGCAGAUGAUAAUUUUAGCACUAUAGUUGCUGCAGUUGGUGAAGGCAGGUCCAUCUACGACAACAUGAAGGCUUUUAUCAGGUACAUGAUCUCCUCAAAUAUUGGCGAGGUUGCCUCUAUAUUUCUGACAGCUGCUUUGGGUAUUCCAGAAGGGAUGAUUCCUGUCCAGCUUCUCUGGGUUAAUCUUGUGACUGAUGGACCGCCAGCAACAGCUUUAGGGUUCAAUCCCCCAGACACAGAUAUAAUGAAGAAACCUCCCAGAAAAAGUGAUGACUCAUUGAUAACACCUUGGAUUUUAUUUCGCUACCUGGUGAUUGGAUUUUAUGUUGGAUUGGCAACAGUAGGUGUAUUCAUCAUAUGGUACACACGCCACACAUUCAUGUUCAUUGACCUGAGUGGCGAUGGUCAUAGUCUUGUCACCUACUCCCAACUUGCCAACUGGGAUCAGUGCAGCACCUGGGAAGGUUUUUCAGCGUCACCCUUCACAGCUGGGUCUCAAGUGUUUAAUUUUGAUGAUAAUCCAUGUGAUUACUUUCGAAUGGGAAAAAUCAAGGCCUCGACUCUCUCCCUCUCUGUCCUGGUUGCCAUUGAAAUGUUCAAUUCCUUGAAUGCUCUCUCUGAGGAUGGCAGCCUCCUGACAAUGCCGCCAUGGGUCAAUCCAUGGCUCCUAUUAGCAAUGUUCGUCUCAUUUGGGUUGCACUUUUUGAUCCUGUAUGUGCCAUUCCUUGCACAAAUAUUUGGGAUUGUUCCUCUCAGCCUGAAUGAAUGGCUUCUGGUGCUGGCUGUGGCAUUCCCAGUCAUUCUAAUCGAUGAGGUUCUUAAGUUUGUGGGAAGGUGUACUACUGGUAUGCGAUAUUCCAGACAUUCAAAACACAAGGCAGAUUGAGUUAUGGUGCGAGAAACAUCAAAUUUAAGGAGACAAUGGAUAUUUAGGUUUGGAAAUCUCAUAGAAUGUGCCUACUUUACUAACCCUCCUGCUUGGAAAAAUAACGGAUCGGCCAGGAUAUUGAAGAUUCAUGAUUGGACUGAUUACAGAACUGUAUUUACUUUUAAAAGUAGAAAUUUUCUGUUCUCAAGUAAAUCAAAUUUGAUCUCCUUUUCUCUCCUCCAAUUUGUGGUAUCAUCAAUUAUGUUUUAAGCAAAAAUUUUAAAACAAAUUUUGUUGUUCCAGUUGUUUGAGACCUGUUU